Non-coding RNA from Anas platyrhynchos (mallard), 1094 nucleotides. NCBI's taxonomy places the organism in Eukaryota, Metazoa, Chordata, Aves, Anseriformes, Anatidae. The record is from RefSeq and is a predicted model, not a curated record.
CCAAGAAGAUCAAAAGAACGUGACCUCAUUUCAAAAGAAAACGUUUUGUACGGCAAAGAGACUUCUGAGCCUGAGAGAUGCCAAGGUAGAAAGGACAAGACUAAAAACACUGAGAAAGAGCAUUACCAAAGCAAGAGGGAACAUGCUCCUAGUGAAGAGAAGGAGAGUCAAAAAGCAGGUCCUUCCAGCGGCCAGGUUCAAAAGGCGUCACGCUGGAGCUCCGAGUUCGGCGGCGUUCCGAGGCCGUUGUGGCGGUUGUGGAGACGGCCCUGGCUGAGGUGGCUGCUGCUGUCGCUGCUGUCCCCUCUGUCCCCGCUGUUGCCGCUGUUCCCGGACCUUGGAGACCCCCGGCGGCUCCCUGUGACAGGCCCUGUGGCCCCGGGGAGCUGCCCGCCGCCUCGUCGGCCAGCCCGGCAGCAAUCCUGCCAGCACAGAAUAGCUCACUGCGUUUCAGGGUAAAGUGACGAUUAAUUUCUAUUUCCUGGCCUGGGUGCUGCUUCCUUCUUUAAGGAAGCUUCAAGGUUAAAGGUUAAGCUCAGUUAUGUCAGGGCCCAAGUCCGUUUCGUGAAGGGGCUCUUGUACGAAAGCUUAAGCUGGGAUUGACUCUCUGCUAAGCGGAGGCCAAACGUGUACCUACUGAGAAGCAGGUCCUAAGUGAUAACGUUUUCUAAAGAGACUGCUAAACACAUCUGAACAGUGCUGCUGCAGAACUCUGAAUGGGGGGAUAGCAACUGUCUUAACUGAUCUGGAAUCUUGAGUUUACUUUUCAGUGGACAAGAGGUGUGUCUCUCAAGGCAAACAAAGAGAGGAGUAACACCCGAUACUCAUGUCAACAUAAUUUAUGCUCAGAGCGUAGGUGUAGGAACAGCAUCGGUAUGUAUAUGGAACAUCGGGAGAGGAAGCUCUGUCGGUAUUUACAGUUUUUCUACUACCUUGUCAGAGAGACGUUAUCUCCACAUUAGAAAUGGAUGUAUUUUGAAACAGUGGUGGUGGAUCGGAUUUCUUCUUUCUAGUGUUAAUAUUUGCUCUUGAAUCGUACUUAAUACCUGGUAACGCCUCAAUCAGUUGUCAAAAAUAAACUUAAAAAUGUGUAA